UGCCUGUAAGACGGGGAUAACUCCGGGAAACCGGGGCUAAUACCGGAUAAUAAGAGAAGAAGCAUUUCUUCUUUUUGAAAGUCGGUUUCGGCUGACACUUACAGAUGAGCCCGCGGCGCAUUAGCUAGUUGGUGAGGUAACGGCUCACCAAGGCGACGAUGCGUAGCCGACCUGAGAGGGUGAUCGGCCACACUGGGACUGAGACACGGCCCAGACUCCUACGGGAGGCAGCAGUGGUCAUAGCUU
RNAcentral lists this ribosomal RNA (246 nucleotides) under Bacillus sp. 41A_1T. Its description in RNAcentral is "partial 16S ribosomal RNA". It matches the Rfam family "Bacterial small subunit ribosomal RNA", at positions 127 to 357 of the family's 1533-position model. The record is from RNAcentral. Lineage: Bacteria; Bacillati; Bacillota; Bacilli; Caryophanales; Bacillaceae.